UGGCCUAAGGGCUGAACCAGCAAUUUGGAAGGGCGCGCUCUUUAGAAGAAGAACCUCAAUUUUCUUUUUUAUAUUAAUAAAUUUAUUUAGAGUGCAGCCGGUUGUGCUGUUGCAAGAGGUUUUAUUGCAAAGUAAUUUUACGGUUGAUAUGCAACGAGGAAUUUGUAUGUAACCCUGGAUAGGAAGUAACAAUGACCAUUUUUAUCCAUAAGUCUUGGCUAAAUUACGUGCCAGCAGUCGCGGUAAUACGUAGAAGACUAGUGUUAUUCAUGUUUAAUCGGUUUAAAGGGUACCUAGACGGAAGAUCAAGCCUGCUAAAAGCAUCGGUACUAAUUUUCUAGAGUUUUAUGGAAGAAUGUCGAACUACUAGAUGAGGGAUAAAAUCCAUUGAUACUAGUAAGACGGGUAACAGCGAAGGCGCCAUUCUAUGUAAAAACUGACGUUGAGGGACGAAGCCUUGGGUAGCGAUAAGGAUUAGAUACCCUAGUAGUCCAAGGAGAAAAUAAUGAGUGCCAUAGACUAGUUAAGUUUAGUUUAUAAAUUAAAGUGUAAGCAUUCCACCUCAUGAGUAAAGUGGCAACACCGAAAUUGAAAUCAUUAGACCGUGUCUGAAACCAGUAGUGAAGUAUGUUAUUUAAUUCGAUGAUCCGCGAAUAACCUUACCACGUUUUGAAUAUUUUUUUAUAUCUUACAAGCGUUGCACGGCUGUCUUCAGUUAAUGUCGUGAGAUUUUGGUUCGUUCCUUUAAUUAACGAAAGCCCCUGUU
RNAcentral lists this ribosomal RNA (766 nucleotides) under Herpotrichiellaceae sp. A561. Its description in RNAcentral is "SSU rRNA". The stretch from base 160 to 766 matches the Rfam family "Bacterial small subunit ribosomal RNA", at positions 1 to 1110 of the family's 1533-position model. Lineage: Eukaryota; Fungi; Ascomycota; Eurotiomycetes; Chaetothyriales; Herpotrichiellaceae. The record is from RNAcentral.